Molecule: long non-coding RNA, 2231 nt
Organism: Xenopus laevis (African clawed frog)
Lineage: Eukaryota; Metazoa; Chordata; Amphibia; Anura; Pipidae
Exons: 13
Source: RefSeq, a predicted model, not a curated record
UACAGCUAUACCAUGUUCUUGCAGGUCUUGCAUGUGAUCUUUGGGUUGUAUGUAACCAUUCUCACAAUCCUCCACAUAUGCUGCUCCUGUAUUUUUCUUGGCCUGCCAGACCUACACCUCAGACUAUAUAAGUACGUGUACUGUUCACCUGUUCAUACCUCAAACGGAGGCUCAGCUACAACAUUGGUGGCAUUGUGCGUAGCAUUUAAAUGAGGAGGAGCACACUCAAAAGGCAGAUUAACUGUUGUGAUUAGUAUUUACAGACACAUCAUGUUUUUGUCUCAAGUGGUGACACUGUACAUAGAACAGUACAUACUGGAAUGCAGUUCUCUAAACACUAUGUUAUAAUCUCAGAUGGCUCCACUUUUCCAUGUAUCCCACCAUCAGCACUGGUUUAUAGUAUCCCAGUAGAGAAGUUCAGGUAGCCCAUUCACAAUAUUCCAUAGUGUUUAUCCCACUGUGAAAUAGACCUAUUUCAUAAAAUAGACUAGUCGAUUAUAGUAUCCCAGUAGAGCAAAACAGGGAGUGCAUUCACAGCAAAUCAUAAUGUGUAUCCCACUAGGAAAAGCACUCUUUCUAGAAAAUACACUACAUCCUAGAGGAUUCUAGUUUUCCAGAAAAGCAUAACAGGGAGCCCAAUCACAGCAUCCCAUAGUGUUUAAGCCACUGGGAAAUAGACUUUUACCAUGAAAUACACUAGUGGAUUAUAGUAUCCCAGUAGAGCAGUACAGGCUGUCUGUUCAUACUAUCCUAGUAUUUGGGAAAUGCACGCUUUGCUAAAAAAAAAUACUAGUUCCUGGUGAGUAAUAGUAUCCCUGUAAAGCAAAGAUGUAUGUAAGCAACUAGGAAAUAGACUCUAUACAAAAUACACUAGAUCAUAGUUGCUUAUCGUAUAGAGAGCCCACUAACCACAUAUCAUAUUGUGUAUCCCACUAGAAAAUAGACUGUUUGUGUAAAAUCAAUGUUGUUGCUGACAUUAUCCUAAGAACCAUAUUAUACUAUAAAGAGUGAAAGGGAGCAUAAACAUUUAAAUAAAUGUGCUAAAUCAUACCCACUUCAUGCACUGUAUUGUCUAGUUUCUAUCACUAUUCAUUUUCCAACUAGAAUAUAGUCCAGCUAUAUAAAGUCUAUUUCUUUGUAUAUAAAAGGCACACUAUUACAUUACCAACUAGGAAUUAGCUAUAUCUGGCCUGAUUGUCUAGUUUCUAUUACUGUAACUUUUCCCACUAGAAUUUAGCCCAACUAUAGUGCAAGAUCUAUUUCCCAAUCUGUAAAGCUGCUCUGUUCCAUUAGCAACCUGGAACUAGACGCAACCAUAGAAGCACCCGCAUGCUUAUUCUUCUAUUUAAUCUCAUUUCGUCAUUACUAAUUGCUUUCACAUCGCAAAAUUCUCCGGGCUGACCGCCUAUUGCAGAAAGUGAGCGUGAGCUUAUUGCUCCGCCCUGAGCUGUGAUGAUAUAAAUAACCUUCUAACGCCAUGUUCUGUCUCUGUCUGCUGCUUUACAAGGCAUUCAUAGGGAAAUGGUGUCCUAUAACAUAAUGCUUAUUUUCUGCAACAUGAAAAGAGUGUUUUGGAAAAAGAUGCUGCUAAAAGCUUGAAGAAACAGGCUUUUAAAGUCCAGCACCGGGCACAUCUGUAGUAUGACCAUGCCAACUGAAGAUCAAAUAGAAAGCUGUUAAAUGAUGGCUGUCCUGUGAGGUGAUAGACAUGCUUACCUUGCUCUGUGGAGGAAAAGUAAUGCAAGCUUAUGGCAUUAAUAUUGAAAUUGUGUCCUAUAACAUAAUGCUUAUUUUCUGCAGAAGAAACCCUGCUCCAUGAAAAGGUCAUUUUAGCUGACAUCUCCUGGCAUUCUCAAAUUCCAACAUUGAUGGCAAUUACAUUGACAUGAUGAUCAGUGCUACUUGGCUUCCAGCUGUGGCAUGGAGUGUUUUGGAAAAAGAUGCUGCUAAAAGCUUGAAGAAACAGGCUUUUAAAGUCCAGCACCGGGCACAUCUGUAGUAUGACCAUGCCAACUGAAGAUCAAAUAGAAAGCUGUUAAAUGAUGGCUGUCCUGUGAGGUGAUCGACAUGUUUACCUUGCUCUGUGGAGGAAAAGUAAUGCAAGCUUAUGGCUUACAGAAAAUUGUUUGUGACUGACUGGGUUCCAAUUACAAAUUUUGUUUUGCUGAACACUGAUAUUGCUAGCUUGUUACAAUUAUGGAUUUAGUAUUAAAGUCCUUGUUUUAAACUUC